This 301-nucleotide signal recognition particle RNA is filed under the name Callithrix jacchus (white-tufted-ear marmoset). RNAcentral describes it as "Metazoan signal recognition particle RNA (ENSCJAG00000040443.3)". It matches the Rfam family "Metazoan signal recognition particle RNA". From Rfam's summary of the family: The signal recognition particle (SRP) is a universally conserved ribonucleoprotein. It is involved in the co-translational targeting of proteins to membranes. The eukaryotic SRP consists of a 300-nucleotide 7S RNA and six proteins: SRPs 72, 68, 54, 19, 14, and 9. Lineage: Eukaryota; Metazoa; Chordata; Mammalia; Primates; Cebidae. The record is from Rfam by way of RNAcentral.
GCCAGGUAUAGGGUUGUACGUGUCUGUAUUCUCAGCUACUCAGGAGGCUGAGGCAGAAGGAUUGCUUGAGCCCAGGAGUUCUGGGCUGUAGUACGCUAUGCCAAUCAGGUGUCUGCACUAAGUUUAGCAUCAAUAUGGUGACCUCCUUGGAGCAGGGGACCACCAGGUUGCCUAAAGAGCAGUGAACUGGCCCAGGUUGGAAAUGGAGCAGGUCAAAACUCCUGUGCUGAACAAUAGUGGGAUUGCUCCUAUGAAUAGCCACUGCACUCCAGCCUGGCAACAUAGCAAGAUCCCAUCCCUA